Molecule: non-coding RNA, 259 nt
Organism: Caenorhabditis elegans
Lineage: Eukaryota; Metazoa; Nematoda; Chromadorea; Rhabditida; Rhabditidae
Source: Ensembl
CGAUAAUGAUGAUUCUCGGACAGUCUUCUCCAUUCCCCCUCUUCUCAAUUCUCUUCCACAAACACACAUGAACACGAUAAUUGGGAGCGGUGGUGCAUUUACCUUCUACCGCCACCCAACAUCAUCUAUCCAUCAGCAAGUAGUAGAAAGCGAGUACCGGUCACUUUUCUCGUCACCACCACAACUACCGGACACCUAAUUGGUAUGUUCAGGUCGGGACGAAAUGUUGCAGAGAUGGGUUAGUUAAUGGAACAAUUGU